RNA transcript from Aethalodelphis obliquidens (Pacific white-sided dolphin), 5316 nucleotides. It is a transcript of the gene named phospholysine phosphohistidine inorganic pyrophosphate phosphatase, with no coding region annotated. The record is from RefSeq and is a predicted model, not a curated record. Lineage: Eukaryota; Metazoa; Chordata; Mammalia; Artiodactyla; Delphinidae. The transcript is spliced from 10 exons.
UACACUUCCCAGGCAACCCUGCGCGGCGAGCGCGGCCGCAGCUUCCAGGCGCCGGUUGGGACGCGGGGGCCGAGGCGCAGGCGGGACGCAAUGGCUGCGUGGGGCGAGCGGCUGGCCGGAGUGCGCGGGGUGCUGCUCGACAUCUCAGGCGUGCUGUACGACGGCGGUGAGGGCGGUGGUGCGCCGAUUGUAGGCUCUGUGGAGGCGCUGGCGAGACUGAAGCGGUCCCAGCUGAAGGUGAGGUUCUGCACCAACGAGUCGCAGAAGUCCCGGGGAGACCUGGUGGCGAUGCUUCGGCGUCUGGGCUUCGACAUCUCAGAGGACGAGGUGACCGCCCCGGCCCCCGCCACCUGCCUGAUCCUGAAGGAGCGAGGCCUGCGGCCACACCUGCUUAUCCACGACGGAGUCCGCUCGGAAUUUGAUCAGAUCGACACAUCCAACCCAAACUGUGUCGUAAUUGCAGAUGCAGGAGAAGGCUUUUCUUAUCAAAACAUGAAUAAAGCUUUCCAGGUGCUCAUGGAGCUGGAGAAUCCUGUGCUCUUCUCACUGGGAAAAGGACGCUACUACAAGGAGACCUCUGGCCUGAUGCUGGACGUUGGUCCCUACAUGAAGGCGCUUGAGUAUGCCUGUGGUAUCGAAGCUGAGGUGGUGGGGAAACCUUCCCCUGAGUUUUUCAAGUCUGCUCUGCGGGAGAUGAGGGUGGAAGCCCACCAGGCCAUCAUGAUCGGGGACGACAUCGUGGGUGACAUCAGCGGUGCCCAGCGGUGUGGGAUGAGAGCGCUGCAGGUGCGGACCGGGAAGUUCAGGAGCAUCUUACGCACCAGGGUUUGGGGCACCUCCUGCAGAAGGCCCUCCUGCUCUAGGCAGCCCGCCGCCAUCACGGAGCUGGCGAGGGCCCAGUGACGAGCACCACCCGGAAGUAAAGGCUGAUGGCUAUGUGGACAACCUGGCGGAGGCUGUGGACCUGCUGCUGCAGCACGCGGACAAGUGACAGGCCUUCUGGGAGGGCCCCUAGCCUCCUGCCGCCCUCCCCUGUGCCCACACCAUCCGAGGCACUGCCCCCUGGCCUGGACGGGCAAGCGAGAGGGUGCCAGCCAGGCAGUUCUGGGCUGCCCUGCCCCUGAGCCACCAGCCCCUCCUCCGUCUCCCUCUGCCGACCCCCCUUCCCUCCUCCUCUCCGGGCACACCUCCCAGCCUCCUGGGCGAAGUUGGAUCCCCACCUGCUGGCCCAGCCCCUGCCUGUGCUUCCCUAGUGGAAGUCAAGAGGUGGGGCACAGCUGUCGAAUCCCCAAACCCAUUCUCUCUCCAGUCGGCCAGACCUUUCAAUGCGCUACCGAAUCGGACUCGUUUGCCCCCUGCCUCUUUUCAAACAGCACUUGAGUUUUAGGGAGGCGCCUGGAGAAAGCGGGGACUCCCAGCAGAGUCCUUGCGGCCAGAGCCGAGCCAGCCUCCCCGGGACUGCCCAGCGGCCCCUGCCCUCACCUGGUGUCAGAGGGACCGCUCAGCACUCCCCACGAACCCCCCAAACAACGCAGCCCGCCAUUUCUAUCCCAAGUCACCUCUGGAACCCAAAUGGAGCAGCUCCCAGGGGCACUUUAAAGACUGCCGUCCUUCGAGCAAGAAUUGUAAGCUCUGGAAUCCAGGUGGCAGGUGGAGGGUACCUUCUGGAGCCUGAACUCGAUAGACUUGAAUGUGUCACACCCAGGAAACUAACGGUUAAAUCAACUCUCUGCCCUGACCCAAGGCGACUCCGGCUCUGACUGCGCGGGGUGGGCGGCAGGGAGGAGGCACCGUCCCUGAUCCUGCCCUGGACUUGAGCCCCUGCACGUCAGGGGGCCAGGGCCCUGAGACACCUCGCCUGCCUCAAACCCUUUGUUUAACAGAGGGGGAAACUGAGGCCCCACGGGGACCAGGUGCACAGGGCAAGCGUGGGCCUUCCCUCACGCAGCAGCCCGAGGUGGCCGGCAGUGAGCCGCGGGCUUCCCAGAUGCACUCACAGCCCAAGUUUCAGGUUUCAGCAUCAGUCAGCAGAACAGGUAACUUGAAUGCUCUGCUUCUCCCCAAAUCCAUCCAGAACCCACUGACAAAUCUCGGGAGACUCCUCGUGAAAGAGGUCGUGAGUCUUCUGUCACAGGAUUUCCAUUAAACGAAGGCAGGUGAUGAUAGAACGCUUCGCCCUGAACCUGAGUCCCCAGCACGGGAGCAGGGCCGGCGGGGGUCUGUGCGGUCCCCAGGCCUUGCCCGCCAGGCCGGCCACCAUUAAAUCAGGAUUAGGAAGAAACGGUGGUAGCUGAGUCUCUUCAUCAAGAUGAGAGGCCACCGGCCAGGCUCGGGUCAUUGGCUUGCAGGGGAGGAGGGGCGUUUGGCCUGUUAGCUGGCAGAUAUGCAGAUGGCCUGCCCCUGGACGGAGUCCCCUAAUUCCAGCUCGUUAGGUGACCAGCGCAGUGUGGGCAGCAGGCACCAGGGCUCGGAAGGCGACUGUGCGGGGACGGGCCUGCAGCCUUCUGUUGGGUUUGUUCCCUCUUUUCUUUCUUUCCUUUUUCGUGGGCUGCCCUUGCCUGCUGUCCUCAGCAGGGGCUUGCAGGCAGGGCAGUAUGGUUCUGGAGGAAGGAGGCUGGGGGGGUCCCGCUCUCCAUGGACAAGUGGAGCCUCCCCUUGCGAGCUGCUGCCCAGGAGUGAGGACGGAGAGGGACUCGGGCAGCAGGCGCAGACCCCUGCUUUGGGUGGAGAACACGCUGCCCCCCCGAGCUGUGGGUUUUGUGAAGUGGACACUGUCAUCUCCCCAUUUUACAGGUAAGGAAACUGAGGUGCAGGGAAACUGACUUGCCUACGGGCUGACGGCUGGCAAGGAUAGAGCCGAGGCUCAAAUCAAGGUCUGACCCUGCAUCCCAUGCCCUUUCUAGUCCCUUCCAUGAUCCCUCCACAGGGGAUGACCUGUGGUGGUCCCGGUGGCUGUCUUUCCAGGCGAGGAGCACCUUGGCAUCCUCCCAGUGGAGAUGAAAUGUGCCUCGGGAUUGAGGUCCAGCCCUACUCUGGGGACACCAUGUACCCCCAAACCUCAGCUAUCCCAUCCUUCCCUGAGCCCUGCCGGGGACCAGGCCCGGCCAGGCCAGGGUGCCCCGUCGCCCCACUGGGGAUGCUGACCCCUCUCCUGCUGCGGCGCCGGGGGCUGCCCAGAAGUGAGGAUGACCUGCCUCACCCCUGGGUCCUUCCAGCUGUCGGGCCCUGGCCUGAUGCCCACCCUCCUUCCCCACCCCCAAGCAGGACAGUUCUUGGGCCAGAGAUAGACGGAGCCACAGGCCACAGGUAGGGCUGGAGUUCAGAGCUGGCAGUGGCCUGAGGACCUGUCUGUGGUCAGGAGAUGCGCCCCAGAUCUGCCACAGGGCCAGCAGACACUCCAGGCUCUGGGGCCACCCAGCAGAGCUGCUGGAAGGGGGAGGGACGGGUGGGGCAAAGGAGAGGGCAGGACGGGGGCACAAGGGCCUCACCUACCCCCAGAUCUCCCAACUCAAGCAUCCACAUGGUACCAGCCCUGUGUGAAAACCCGAUUCAAACUGGGUUAAUCCAGCAGGAGUUUAUCAUCUACGAGGCUUCCAAAUCCAGGCCUGGCUGGAUCCGGGUCCCAAGAAAGUCCCAGGCUGACCCUGGGGCAGGGCAAUGGCGGCUCCAGCCAAACUCGCACGGGAGAGGAGAGGGGCGUGGCACCAGGAGGGCAUCCACACCAUCCUCUCGCUGCCCUGCCGGGAGCUGGGAGCCAGGCUGAGGGGUCCGAGUCCUCGCCGGCAGGUGUGUGCCCACCAUGGGGCCCAGACAGCUGCGGCGCUUCUCUCCUCCUCAGAUCAGGGGGGCAUCCCCUCAGGACCUAACAGAUCUCCAGGCAGAACCUCUGCGGUCAGAUGAUAUGGGCCAACCUUGGGUUAUAGAAAUGACAGAAGCCUCCCUAAGCCUGUCCUCGAGGCUGCAAACAUCCUGGUCUCCUGAGCUUGGUUAGCGAGGGGUCCCUGACUUGGGGGCCAGGCACAGGGACCGUGUGCCCUGGAGCCCACUCUGAGCUGAGCUGUGAGUGCUGGCGACCCCUCGGCCCGAGCAGCACAGAUCUGAGCCGUGCUGCCCUCGGAGGAGCGUGGGGUCCCAGCCUCCGCCCCCUCCCUGGUGACCCUGGUGGGCAGGGGGCCCCGCAGGCCCACAGGGCUCCAGGCCAGGCGCCCUGCAGCAGUGCAUCCUGGAGCAGCUGCUGCGUGGCCUCGCAUGGCAGGCAUCUCCAGCCGGAACACACAGACCUGACCCUGCGGCUCGGAGGGGAUAGAAGGGCCCAGGCUCCGCCCGUGCCAGUCCAGAGCGAAGGGUCCCAAAGGCAGAGGGGGGACCCUCCGAUCUGCCACACCCAACAGAAAGCACACAGCCGGCUCCCGGCAGCUGGGUAUUGAACCAGGAAGCUUUAUUUACACAGUGAAAGUAACAAGCAAAUUCCUGAGAGACUAGAGCGGCUCUAGUGCAAGACAGUCGCGGCCCGUGCGGAGGACAGGCUGCGGUGGGUGGAGGUGGGGGACAGACCCAGCGCCUCUGCACCCAGCGCUUCGCCCCGGGCAGGGGCCUGGCCCAACACUGCCCGUCCUGGCCGCCACACUUCCUGAGGCUCCCCAGUGCCCACGAGGUACAGCUGGGAAAGCGCACACGGCCCGAGAAACCGCGGACUCGCCGUCCCCGCGCCCCGGGGCAUCGCCCACCCCCGCACUGAAACACAAUUUCUUUGCCAAAGAGACUAUGCUAGAAGGUCAGACUAUCCUACCUAGGCUACAAGAUCUCCGCUGCGGUCUGGGAUUUCUUUUUUUUUUUUUUAAUCUUUUUCUCUUUCAAGAGGAAUGGUUUUUUCUGGCACCAAUGGGAGGGGUCGGGCCAACUGUGUGGUCGUGGCAAGACGCGGCACAACUGCCUACACGGAGGCACCGCCCUGGCCGGGCUGCCGCCCCAGCGCCGGGGUGGGGGGGUACCGCUCGCGCCCCAGGCCGCGGGGCCUGAAGCGGUCAUCGUUCGGGUGACCGGCCCCGAGGCCAGAGCACACGCGACUUGAGCCUGCGGUGGGGCACCCAGGGCUUGCGCUGAGGGCCCCGGCAGUGCCAGCCAGAGCGCGGAAACGAACACGCCAACCCUGCCUGGAGACCCAUUUGGAUGUUGGGUUUGUUUAUUUUUCUAAGGUGGACUUCUCCUUUAUUUAAAUUUUCUUUCCGCAUACAAAUUCACAAGACUUUCCUGCUACAAAAAUUUUGCUGAAAAGUAAGGCUUUCUGAGAAUGAAAAUUCAUAUGCAUGAUCAGAA